UACGAAGGGGGCUAGCGUUGCUCGGAAUCACUGGGCGUAAAGGGUGCGUAGGCGGGUCUUUAAGUCAGGGGGGAAAUCCUGGAGCUCAACUCCAGAACUGCCUUUGAUACUGAAGAUCUUGAGUUCGGGAGAGGUGAGUGGAACUGCGAGUGUAGAGGUGAAAUUCGUAGAUAUUCGCAAGAACACCAGUGGCGAAGGCGGCUCACUGGCCCGAUACUGACGCUGAGGCACGAAAGCGUGGGGAGCAAACAGG
RNAcentral lists this ribosomal RNA (253 nucleotides) under uncultured bacterium. Its description in RNAcentral is "partial 16S ribosomal RNA". It matches the Rfam family "Bacterial small subunit ribosomal RNA", at positions 524 to 776 of the family's 1533-position model. The record is from RNAcentral.